This 236-nucleotide unclassified non-coding RNA is filed under the name plant metagenome. RNAcentral describes it as "partial contains small subunit ribosomal RNA, internal transcribed spacer 1, and 5.8S ribosomal RNA". The record is from RNAcentral.
UUUCCGUAGGUGAACCUGCGGAAGGAUCAUUACUGAGUGAGGGCCCCUCGGGGUCCAACCUCCCACCCGUGUUUAACGAACCUUGUUGCUUCGGCGGGCCCGCCUCACGGCCGCCGGGGGGCGUCUGCCCCCUGGCCCGCGCCCGCCGAAGCCACCUGUGAACGCUGUCUGAAGUAUGCAGUCUGAGACAAUUAUUAAAUUAAUUAAAACUUUCAACAACGGAUCUCUUGGUUCCG